This 59-nucleotide transfer RNA is filed under the name Haliotis tuberculata coccinea. RNAcentral describes it as "tRNA-Leu". Lineage: Eukaryota; Metazoa; Mollusca; Gastropoda; Lepetellida; Haliotidae. The record is from RNAcentral.
CAGGUGGCGGAUUAGUGCGUUAGUAGUAAGCCCUCAAGUUGAAGAUUAAAGCUCUCUUC